RNAcentral lists this ribosomal RNA (249 nucleotides) under uncultured bacterium. Its description in RNAcentral is "partial 16S ribosomal RNA". It matches the Rfam family "Bacterial small subunit ribosomal RNA", at positions 524 to 769 of the family's 1533-position model. The record is from RNAcentral.
UACGUAGGGUGCGAGCGUUGCCCGGAUUUAUUGGGCGUAAAAGGGCGCGCAGGCGGUACGGCACGUCCGUUGUGAAAUCGCUCGGCUCAACUGGGCGGGGUCAGCGGGAUACGGCCGCACUUGAGCAAGCUAGGGGGCAAUGGAAUUCCCGGUGUAGUGGUGGAAUGCGUAGAUAUCGGGGAGGAACACCAGUGGCGAAGGCGGUUGCCUGGAGCUUUGCUGACGCUGAGGCGCGAAAGCGUGGGGGAG